Molecule: long non-coding RNA, 1064 nt
Filed under: Rattus norvegicus (Norway rat)
Lineage: Eukaryota; Metazoa; Chordata; Mammalia; Rodentia; Muridae
Description: long non-coding RNA NONRATT021474
Source: RNAcentral
UAAUGUAUUUUGAUCCUUACUCUUUCCCCUCUGACUCUACUUCACCAUUUGCCCUCCCAAUUUCACACACUCUUUUGCUUAAAAACAAACAAAUAACAACAACAAAAACCUACUGAGAUAAUUUAGUGCAUGGAUAUGAGGCUAUCUGCUGGAGCAUGUGUAGCCUUUGAAAGCCUGUAUCCCUGAAGAAAACAGACUCCCAGUUAUCCAUUCAUCUAGGUUGUCUCCGUUUACUGGCUAUUGUGAGUAGAACAGCUAUGAUCAUGGGUGAGCAAGUAUCUUUGAAGUAGGAUGUAGAGUCCUCAGGGAAUGUAGCCAGGAGUAUUCAGCUCACAUGAUGGAUCCAUGUCUAGCUUUUUGAGGAAUCUACCCACCAAUUUCUAUAGUGGCAAAACCACUUUACAUUCCAGUGGUGAAUAAAUAUUCCCAUUCCCCCCACAUCCACACCAGUAUUUGCCAAUCAGGUGUUCUGGUCUUUUCCUUACUAAGAAGCCUGCCAAAAUGGCAACUACCUGCUAUUGAUAUGAUCUUUCUCCAUUCCAAGGCUUUCUUUGUUACCGGUAAGGGCUGUGAUUCUCUUUCCCCAGCAUACUCCAAUACCCACACCUCAAGGUAGGGCACUCAGUGGAAUUGUCUGUUUUGACCAGAAGGAUCAUGAUUUAUAUAAGACUUGACAAAGCUGAGGUGAUACUCAGGUUAGGGCUUCCAUCACCAUGUCUGAGAUACAUAUUCCAGUGAGUGGUGGCUCAGAGGGUAAGUCAGAGGACUGAAUACUUAGCUUCACCCUGUGGAGAGCUGCGAGUUUGAAGAUCAGCUGCCUCUGGGACUCUCUCUUUGCAGGCCUCCAGGACCAUGUGGUACACUAGCACCCGGGGAAUGGCCCCACGGGUCAACUUUGAGGGGGCUCUCUUCUCUGGUUAUGCACCAGAUGGGGGCCUCUAUAUGCCAGAGGAGCUCCCAAGGCUGGACAAAGAGACCCUGCGUCACUGGAGCACGCUGUCCUAUCGCAGCCUGGUGAAGGAGUUGUGUGCCCUCUUCGUUGGCCUGGAGCUUAUUCCAAGACA